This 253-nucleotide ribosomal RNA is filed under the name uncultured bacterium. RNAcentral describes it as "partial 16S ribosomal RNA". It matches the Rfam family "Bacterial small subunit ribosomal RNA", at positions 524 to 776 of the family's 1533-position model. The record is from RNAcentral.
UAAGGAGGGUGCGAGCGUUAUUCGGAAUUACUGGGCGUAAAGCGCGUGCAGGCGGGAGAGUGGGUCUGAUGUGGAAAUCCGGGGCUUAACCCCCGAAGAGAAUUGGAACCUGCUUUUCUUGAGUAUCGGAGAGGAAGGGGUAAUUCCCGGUGUAGAGGGUAAAGUCGUAGAGAUCGGGAGGAACCCCAGUGGCGACGGCGCCCCUCUGGACGACAACUGACGCCGAGAAGCCACAGCGUGGGGAGCAAACAGG